CCCUUAGAUGUUCUGGGCCGCACGCGCGCUACAAUGGUCUUCGCAAACGGAUGCAUUCUCGAAGGAGAAUACCAAUCUUGGAAUCUAUGCCUUGGUCGGGACAGUUGCUUGCAAUUUUUCGACUCGAACCAGGAAUUCCUUGUAAUCGUGAUUCAUCACAUCACGAUGAAUACGUCCCUGCCCUUUGUACACACCGCCCGUCGCUCCUACCGAUCGAAGAGUUAGGUGAAUUGUUUUGAUCGAUAAGAUUUGACUAUGGUCAACUCUCGUUGUGAAAUUCUGUGAAUCUGACUGUUUAGAGGAAGGAAAAGUCGUAACA
This 319-nucleotide ribosomal RNA is filed under the name uncultured eukaryote. RNAcentral's name for it is "partial 18S ribosomal RNA". It matches the Rfam family "Eukaryotic small subunit ribosomal RNA", at positions 1470 to 1796 of the family's 1831-position model. The record is from RNAcentral.